This 257-nucleotide ribosomal RNA is filed under the name uncultured bacterium. Its description in RNAcentral is "partial 16S ribosomal RNA". It matches the Rfam family "Bacterial small subunit ribosomal RNA", at positions 524 to 776 of the family's 1533-position model. The record is from RNAcentral.
UACGUAGGGUGCAAGCGUUAAUCGGAAUUACUGGGCGUAAAGCGUGCGCAGGCGGUUGUGCAAGACAGAUGUGAAAUCCCCGGGCUCAACCUGGGAAUGGCAUUUGUGACUGCACGGCUAGAGUAUGGCAGAGGGGGGUAGAAUUCCACGUGUAGCAGUGAAAUGCGUAGAGAUGUGGAGGAAUACCGAGUGGCGAAGGCAGGCCCCCUGGGCCAAUACUGACGCCUCAUGCGACGAAAGCGUGGGGAGCAAACAGG